GUCUCCUUGGUGUAGUUGGUUAUCACGUGGGUCUCAUAGUCAUCACGCUGUGACUGCUAUUCAGCAGAUAUCCCAAGGCCGCCAGUUCGAGUCUGGCAGGGGACA
Molecule: transfer RNA, 105 nt
Filed under: Didymella sp. IMI 355093
Lineage: Eukaryota; Fungi; Ascomycota; Dothideomycetes; Pleosporales; Didymellaceae
Description: tRNA-Met
Rfam family: tRNA
About the family: Transfer RNA (tRNA) molecules are approximately 80 nucleotides in length. Their secondary structure includes four short double-helical elements and three loops (D, anti-codon, and T loops).
Source: RNAcentral